AUCCAAAAGAAGGGGAAAGUUUGUGAAGAAAAAGAAAAGAAUAUUGCAACUCACUGCUAGAGGCGUUAAUACGACGCUAACGAACCGUAGCCUUUCCAGAGCAUAGCUGGCACCAUUAGCACCCAUCUGUGCCGAGUGGGAUGUGCAAGCAGAAGUCAGGGCUGAGCAGCCUCCACCUGUUUGCAGAGAGCCCUGCAGUGACCUUACUGUUGGCUGAUUCCAGGGAGCCACCUCAUUAUUCUGACUUGAAACUUCUCCAUCUCCAAAAUCAGAGGAAGAAUGCACAUCACAGUCCUGCUCUGACAACAUAGGCCCAGGGAAAUGAAGAAGAGCAAUUUUUGCAUUACUGUAAACUGCAAAAAGUGUUCCCCAGUGAAAACCACAAUUUCGCUUUGGUUUGAUGAGUGUGCUGUGAUGCCAGUGUGGUAGGUUUACCUUCUGAAAUGAUUGAAGAGUAGGAGUAGACUGUGUACUGUUAGCAGGAAGCAAUGUCUGAUACCAAUUAUUUCUAAUUUUGCAGUCUAGAACUGGGUUUUUGUUAUAUUUUGAGGUUUCCUUUAAAAUGGUGGCCUUUCCAGUCAGCAGAUAUAAGUCUUGCCAGUGUUCUUGUGUCAGUUAACAAACUCAGUUAUUUAUAAACAAUCUUGGAAGGGAGACAUUUAAA
Molecule: long non-coding RNA, 664 nt
Organism: Haemorhous mexicanus (house finch)
Lineage: Eukaryota; Metazoa; Chordata; Aves; Passeriformes; Fringillidae
Exons: 4
Source: RefSeq, a predicted model, not a curated record